ACUCCUACGGGAGGCAGCAGUGGGGAAUAUUGCACAAUGGGCGCAAGCCUGAUGCAGCCAUGCCGCGUGUAUGAAGAAGGCCUUCGGGUUGUAAAGUACUUUCAGCAGUGAGGAAGGUGGAUAUGUUAAUAGCAUAUUCAUUUGACGUUAGCUGCAGAAGAAGCACCGGCUAACUCCGUGCCAGCAGCCGCGGUAAUACGGAGGGUGCGAGCGUUAAUCGGAAUUACUGGGCGUAAAGCGCAUGCAGGUGGUUUGUUAAGUCAGAUGUGAAAGCCCGGGGCUCAACCUCGGAAUUGCAUUUGAAACUGGCAAACUAGAGUACUGGUAGAGGGGGGUAGAAUUUCAGGUGUAGCGGUGAAAUGCGUAGAGAUCUGAAGGAAUACCGGUGGCGAAGGCGGCCCCCUGGACAGAUACUGACACUCAGAUGCGAAAGCGUGGGGAGCAAACAGGAUUAGAUACCCUGGUAGGCUCU
RNAcentral lists this ribosomal RNA (472 nucleotides) under uncultured bacterium. RNAcentral describes it as "bacterial SSU rRNA". It matches the Rfam family "Bacterial small subunit ribosomal RNA", at positions 335 to 798 of the family's 1533-position model. The record is from RNAcentral.